Molecule: long non-coding RNA, 744 nt
Organism: Pan troglodytes (chimpanzee)
Lineage: Eukaryota; Metazoa; Chordata; Mammalia; Primates; Hominidae
Exons: 3
Source: RefSeq, a predicted model, not a curated record
GUAUUUCCUUUCAGAGUGAAGAUAUCCUCAAAUGUCUAGUGAUCCUUAACUGUCUGUUCACAUUUAAGACUACAGCACUAAAAAUCUGACUGGAAGUUCUGAUAUAUGAGUUGGGUUGCCAACUCUGGGUCUUACCCCAGGUAAUCUGGCUGGAUUGUUUCAUAGGACAACUCCCAAUGUUAACACAGGGUCUUUUCUUCUGGACUAGUCAGAUUUAUCAGAUACUAAAUUCCUAAUCUCAUACCUGGAAGUAGAAACUGGCUGCCAGCAUUUCGGAAGUCAAUUGGGAGAAGAGCAGGUUCUCAAAUUCAGUCCUACAUUCACUGCCACUUCCAGAAAUAUCUGGUAUCGCCAAUUCAUGAGCCCACUGGAGGUUUUGAGGUGCAAGUCUGGAUGAUGUAUUGGUUUUUCCUGCCAGAAUAGAAACUCCACAAAAACAGUGAUCUUGGUUUUGUUCAUUGAUGAAAUCCAAGGACUUAGAAGAGUGCCUGGCACAUGUAUAAUUAUGGGAAAACAUCAGACAAACCCAAAUUGAGAGACAUUCUACAAAAUACCCGAAAAACAUCAUUUAAAGGGACCAAGGUCAUGAAAAACAAGGAGACUGAGAAACUGUCACCAACUGGAGGAGCCUAUGGAGACAAAACAACUAUGUCUAUGCAGCGUGGUAUUCUGGUUUGCAUUCUGGAAAGAAAAAGGACGUUGGUAUAAAAAUUGGUGAUAUCAGAAUAAAGUCUAUAGUUGAAA